GGNNANCUNNNCNGCAGNCGACGAUUCUACGGGAGGCAGCAGUGGGGAAUAUUGCACAAUGGGCGAAAGCCUGAUGCAGCAACGCCGCGUGAGGGACGACGGCCUUCGGGUUGUAAACCUCUUUUAGCAGGGAAGAAGCGAAAGUGACGGUACCUGCAGAAAAAGCACCGGCUAACUACGUGCCAGCAGCCGCGGUAAUACGUAGGGUGCAAGCGUUAUCCGGAAUUAUUGGGCGUAAAGAGCUCGUAGGCGGUUUGUCGCGUCUGCUGUGAAAACUGGAGGCUCAACCUCCAGCCUGCAGUGGGUACGGGCAGACUAGAGUGCGGUAGGGGAGAUUGGAAUUCCUGGUGUAGCGGUGGAAUGCGCAGAUAUCAGGAGGAACACCGAUGGCGAAGGCAGAUCUCUGGGCCGUAACUGACGCUGAGGAGCGAAAGGGUGGGUAGCAAACCGGAUUAGAUACCCGGGUAGUCCACGCCCUAAACGAUGGAUGCUAGGUUUGCGGGGUAUCGACCCCCUGUGAGCCGUAGGUAACCCGUUAAGCAUCCCGCCUGGGGACUACGACCGCAAGGUUAAAACUCAAAUGAAUUGACGG
Molecule: ribosomal RNA, 592 nt
Filed under: Microbacterium aurum
Lineage: Bacteria; Bacillati; Actinomycetota; Actinomycetes; Micrococcales; Microbacteriaceae
Description: bacterial SSU rRNA
Rfam family: Bacterial small subunit ribosomal RNA
Source: RNAcentral